This 449-nucleotide ribosomal RNA is filed under the name uncultured bacterium. RNAcentral's name for it is "partial 16S ribosomal RNA". It matches the Rfam family "Bacterial small subunit ribosomal RNA", at positions 29 to 523 of the family's 1533-position model. The record is from RNAcentral.
AACGAACGCUGGCGGCAUGCCUAACACGUGCAAGUCGAACGAGAUCUUCGGGUCUAGUGGCGCACGGGUGCGUAACGCGUGGGAAUCUGCCCUUUGGUUCGGAAUAACAGUUGGAAACGACUACUAAUACCGGAUGAUGACGAAAGUCCAAAGAUUUAUCGCCAGAGGAUGAGCCCGCGUAGGAUUAGCUAGUUGGUGUGGUAAAGGCGCACCAAGGCGACGAUCCUUAGCUGGUCUGAGAGGAUGAUCAGCCACACUGGGACUGAGACACGGCCCAGACUCCUACGGGAGGCAGCAGUGGGGAAUAUUGGACAAUGGGCGAAAGCCCGAUCCAGCAAUGCCGCGUGAGUGAUGAAGGCCUUAGGGUUGCAGAGCUCUUUUACCCGGGAUGAUAAUGACAGUACCGGGAGAAUAAGCUCCGGCUAACUCCGUGCCAGCCGCCGCCGUAA